RNAcentral lists this unclassified non-coding RNA (22 nucleotides) under Mus musculus (house mouse). RNAcentral describes it as "oocyte_clustered_small_RNA11017". The record is from RNAcentral. Lineage: Eukaryota; Metazoa; Chordata; Mammalia; Rodentia; Muridae.
UGUUGCACCAGAGCGCUGCAGG